UAAGCUCAUUUGCAUCCUUACACUCAACCAAACUUUUCUCUCUCCUUAGCCACGAAAAUAUUAAGUGAAUCAGUCACUAAUGUGAUCACUAGCAAGCCAGGAAUAGAUCACAAAGAUUAGAUUCAAGAUCAAAGCAUGAAUGAGGUAUAAACCCUAAAUUUUGUAAAUCAUGUGAUUUUAUGUUAGUUGUUGUUUAGAUUGGUAAUAG
This 208-nucleotide long non-coding RNA is filed under the name Panax ginseng (ginseng). RNAcentral describes it as "long non-coding RNA (PGIN_LNC001211)". The record is from RNAcentral. Lineage: Eukaryota; Viridiplantae; Streptophyta; Magnoliopsida; Apiales; Araliaceae.